UACGAAGGGGGCUAGCGUUGUUCGGAAUUACUGGGCGUAAAGCGCGCGUAGGCGGGUUGUUAAGUCAGGGGUGAAAUGCCGAGGCUCAACCUCGGAACUGCCUUUGAUACUGGCAACCUGGAGUUCGGGAGAGGUGAGUGGAAUUCCGAGUGUAGAGGUGAAAUUCGUAGAUAUUCGGAGGAACACCAGAAGCGAAGGCGGCUCACUGGCCCGAUACUGACGCUGAGGCGCGAAAGCGUGGGGAGCAAAC
RNAcentral lists this ribosomal RNA (250 nucleotides) under uncultured bacterium. Its description in RNAcentral is "partial 16S ribosomal RNA". It matches the Rfam family "Bacterial small subunit ribosomal RNA", at positions 524 to 773 of the family's 1533-position model. The record is from RNAcentral.